AGUGAACGCUGGCGGUAGGCCUAACACAUGCAAGUCGAACGGCAGCACAGUAAGAGCUUGCUCUUGCGGGUGGCGAGUGGCGGACGGGUGAGGAAUACAUCGGAAUCUACCUUUUCGUGGGGGAUAACGUAGGGAAACUUACGCUAAUACCGCAUACGACCUACGGGUGAAAGCAGGGGAUCUUCGGACCUUGCGCGAUUGAAUGAGCCGAUGUCGGAUUAGCUAGUUGGCGGGGUAAAGGCCCACCAAGGCGACGAUCCGUAGCUGGUCUGAGAGGAUGAUCAGCCACACUGGAACUGAGACGCGGUCCAGACUCCUACGGGAGGCAGCAGUGGGGAAUAUUGGACAAUGGGCGCAAGCCUGAUCCAGCCAUACCGCGUGGGUGAAGAAGGCCUUCGGGUUGUAAAGCCCUUUUGUUGGGAAAGAAAAGCAGCAGGUUAAUACCCCGCUGUUCUGACGGUACCCAAAGAAUAAGCACCGGCUAACUUCGUG
RNAcentral lists this ribosomal RNA (492 nucleotides) under uncultured bacterium. Its description in RNAcentral is "partial 16S ribosomal RNA". It matches the Rfam family "Bacterial small subunit ribosomal RNA", at positions 29 to 507 of the family's 1533-position model. The record is from RNAcentral.